AACGAACGCUGGCGGCAGGCCUAACACAUGCAAGUCGAACGCCCCGCAAGGGAGGUGGCAGACGGGUGAGUAACGCGUGGGAACCUUCCCUGUGGUGCGGAAUAACUCGCCGAAAGGCGAGCUAAUACCGCAUAAGCCCGAAACGGGGAAAGGAUUUAUCGCCAUAGGAUGGGCCCGGCCGUAGGAUUAGCUAGUUGGUGAGGUAAUGGCUCACCAAGGCUGCGAUCCUUAGCUGGUUUGAGAGAAUGACCAGCCACACUGGGACUGAGACACGGCCCAGACUCCUACGGGAGGCAGCAGUGGGGAAGUCUUGGACAAUGGGCGCAAGCCUGAUCCAGCCAUGCCGCGUGAGUGACGAAGGCCUUC
Molecule: ribosomal RNA, 366 nt
Filed under: uncultured bacterium
Lineage: Bacteria
Description: bacterial SSU rRNA
Rfam family: Bacterial small subunit ribosomal RNA
Source: RNAcentral